CCUACGGGGGGCAGCAGUGGGGGAUAUUGGACAAUGGGGGGAACCCUGAUCCAGCGACGUAGCGUGAGUGAAGAAGUAUCUCGGUAUGUAAAGCCCUGUCAGCCGGGAAGCAAGAAAUGACGGUACUUGACCAAGAAGCCUCGGCUAACUACGUGCCAGCAGCCGCGGUAAUUCGUAGGGGGCAAGCGUUAACCGGAAUUACUGGGUGUAAAGGGUGCGUAGACGGUUAAGUAAGUCUGGAGUGAAAGGCCGGGGCACAACCCCGGGACUGCUGUGGAACCUGUUGAACUUGAGUGCAGGAGAGGUAAGCGGAAUGCCUGGUGUAGCGGUGAAAUGCGUAGAUAUUAGGAAGAACACCAGUGGCGAAGGCGGCUUACUGGAGUGUAACUGACGUUGAGGCUCGAAAGCGUGGGGAGCGAACAGGAUUAGAUACCCGUGUAGUC
RNAcentral lists this ribosomal RNA (443 nucleotides) under uncultured bacterium. RNAcentral's name for it is "partial 16S ribosomal RNA". It matches the Rfam family "Bacterial small subunit ribosomal RNA", at positions 338 to 795 of the family's 1533-position model. The record is from RNAcentral.